RNAcentral lists this ribosomal RNA (492 nucleotides) under uncultured bacterium. RNAcentral's name for it is "bacterial SSU rRNA". It matches the Rfam family "Bacterial small subunit ribosomal RNA", at positions 28 to 507 of the family's 1533-position model. The record is from RNAcentral.
GAUGAACGCUAGCUACAGGCUUAACACAUGCAAGUCGAGGGGAACGAUAGAGAAAGCUUGCUUUUUCUAGGCGUCGACCGGCGCACGGGUGAGUAACGCGUAUCCAACCUGCCCAUCACUUGGGGAUAACCUUGCGAAAGUAAGACUAAUACCCAAUGACGUCUCUAGAAGACAUCUGAAGGAGAUUAAAGAUUUUAUCGGUGAUGGAUGGGGAUGCGUCUGAUUAGCUUGUUGGCGGGGUAACGGCCCACCAAGGCGACGAUCAGUAGGGGUUCUGAGAGGAAGGUCCCCCACAUUGGAACUGAGACACGGUCCAAACUCCUACGGGAGGCAGCAGUGAGGAAUAUUGGUCAAUGGGCGAGAGCCUGAACCAGCCAAGUAGCGUGCAGGAUGACGGCCCUAUGGGUUGUAAACUGCUUUUAUAAGGGAAUAAAGUGGGAGUCGUGACUCUUUUUGCAUGUACCUUAUGAAUAAGGACCGGCUAAUUCCGUG